This 249-nucleotide ribosomal RNA is filed under the name uncultured bacterium. Its description in RNAcentral is "partial 16S ribosomal RNA". It matches the Rfam family "Bacterial small subunit ribosomal RNA", at positions 528 to 776 of the family's 1533-position model. The record is from RNAcentral.
GAGGUCUCGAGCGUUGUUCGGAUUCAUUGGGCGUAAAGGGCGCGUAGGCGGCGGGGUAAGUCUGGUGUGAAAUCUAGGAGCUCAACUCCUAAACUGCACUGGAUACUGCUCUGCUAGAGGACUGGAGAGGAGACUGGAAUUCACGGUGUAGCAGUGAAAUGCGUAGAUAUCGUGAGGAAGACCAGUGGCGAAGGCGGGUCUCUGGACAGUUCCUGACGCUGAGGCGCGAAGGCCAGGGGAGCAAACGGG